RNAcentral lists this ribosomal RNA (254 nucleotides) under uncultured bacterium. RNAcentral describes it as "partial 16S ribosomal RNA". It matches the Rfam family "Bacterial small subunit ribosomal RNA", at positions 524 to 776 of the family's 1533-position model. The record is from RNAcentral.
CACGUAGGGGGCGAGCGUUGUCCGGAUUUAUUGGGCGUAAAGAGCUCGUAGGCGGCUUGGUAAGUCAGGUGUGAAACCUCCAGGCUCAACCUGGAGACGCCACUUGAUACUGCCAUAGCUAGAGUCCGGUAGGGGAGCGUGGAAUUUCUGGUGUAGCGGUGAAAUGCGCAGAUAUCAGAAGGAACACCAGCGGCGAGGGCGGCGCUCUGGGCCGGAACUGACGCUGAGGAGCGAAAGCGUGGGUAGCAAACAGG